AGAAUAUCCCACUAUUUUUGCAAUAUCUUCUCCAGUUUCACCUGGAACUGGACAUCCCAAAGUGUUGAAGAUUGAAGUAUGUGGAGAUUUAUUAGAAGGAAAUAUAAUUCGAGGCCGUGCAGAAAUCGCAUGGUGCGGUGGAACCCCAGGGAGAAGCAUUUCAAGUUGGUUAAGGAAAACGUGGAGCAGCAACCCAGUGGUCAUUGUUGGUGCUGAAGAAGAGGAAUAUCAGUUGAUGCUUGAUGAUGUUGGUUCGUGUUUGAUGUUUAUGUAUACUCCUAUGACAGAGGAAGGUGCCAAAGGAGAACCUCAAUAUGCUAUAACAGAUUAUGUGAAAGCUGCUCCCCCAUCAGUGGGUGAUGUACAAAUUUCUGGAGAUGUUGUUGAAGGAAAUACCAUAAGAGGAAUUGGGAGAUAUUUUGGAGGAAAAGAAGGACCCAGCAAGUUCGAAUGGUUGCGCGAAGAUAAGGAUACAGGGGAUUUUGUGCUGGUGUCAUCUGGUAUGAAUGAAUAUACUUUGACAAAAGAGGAUGUUGGCUGCUGCUUGGCUUUUGUUUAUGUACCCGUGAAUUUUCAAGGACAGGAAGGGAAAUCUGUAUCGCUUGUCUCGCAGAAAGUUAAGCAAGCUCCUCCUAAAGUGACAAAUCUAAAGAUAAUUGGUGAACUAAAGGAAGGCAGUAAAAUAACGGUAACUGGUAUCGUUACCGGAGGAAUUGAAGGAGCCAGCAGAGUUCAGUGGUUUAAAACAAGUUCAUCAACAUUUGAGGGUGAGAGCUAUCUUGAUGCAUUGAGUACGUCCAAAAUUGCAAAGGCGUUCCGCAUACCUUUAGGAGCUGUUGGUUACUAUAUUGUUGCAAAAUUUACUCCGAUGACUCCAGAUGGCGAAGCUGGUGAACCAGUCUUUGUCAUUUCUGAAAGAGCUGCAGAGACUCUUCCACCUAACCUUAACUUUUUAUCUCUGACUGGGGAUUACGCUGAAGGUGGAAUAAUGACCGCAUCUUAUGGUUAUA
This 1010-nucleotide unclassified non-coding RNA is filed under the name Hevea brasiliensis (rubber tree). Lineage: Eukaryota; Viridiplantae; Streptophyta; Magnoliopsida; Malpighiales; Euphorbiaceae. The record is from RNAcentral.